Aedes aegypti (yellow fever mosquito) is the source of this 116-nucleotide non-coding RNA. Lineage: Eukaryota; Metazoa; Arthropoda; Insecta; Diptera; Culicidae. The record is from Rfam.
UGCCCAGCAACUCCUAUCACUACCUCCUCGCGAUACUGACCGGGGUACGAGUAACCUUGGGGAAGAUCGGGUAGCCAACCCCGGUGGGAACUAUGGUCGUAUGCUGACGGGGAAGG